This 215-nucleotide long non-coding RNA is filed under the name Elaeis guineensis (African oil palm). Its description in RNAcentral is "long non-coding RNA (EGUI_LNC040663)". Lineage: Eukaryota; Viridiplantae; Streptophyta; Magnoliopsida; Arecales; Arecaceae. The record is from RNAcentral.
AGGGCCUUCUUGAGGUUCUUCAACCAGUGUGGGCUUACUUUAUCUGAGUCUCGGAGUCUUCUAUCUUUGGAGGCGAGAUAGUCGAGACUUUUAGAUGUGAUGAUCCAAUUUGGGGUGUGUUAGCUCACCCAAGUCUUUCAAGAGGUGUGGUGGCCAAGCAUAAGGCACAAAACUCUCUCAAGGCUUUUUCAAAAUUCUUCAACCUGCGUGGGCUU